UUGUGGAGGGAGCCGUCGAAGGUGGGAUCGGUAAUUAGGACUAAGUCGUAACAAGGUAGCCGUACCGGAAGGUGCGGCUGGAUCACCUCCUUUCUAAGGAG
Molecule: ribosomal RNA, 101 nt
Filed under: Microbacterium algeriense
Lineage: Bacteria; Bacillati; Actinomycetota; Actinomycetes; Micrococcales; Microbacteriaceae
Description: Microbacterium sp. G1 partial 16S ribosomal RNA
Rfam family: Bacterial small subunit ribosomal RNA
Source: RNAcentral